Molecule: long non-coding RNA, 8079 nt
Filed under: Phaseolus vulgaris (common bean)
Lineage: Eukaryota; Viridiplantae; Streptophyta; Magnoliopsida; Fabales; Fabaceae
Description: long non-coding RNA (PVUL_LNC004218)
Source: RNAcentral
AAACAUAUUGCUUGAUGAGAACCAUGUCGCUAAAGUUGCUGAUUUUGGUCUUUCAAGGUCAGGUCCUCUUGGUACUGAAUCGUAUGUCACCACUGGUGUUAAAGGCACUUUUGGGUAUCUUGAUCUUGAGUAUUUCAGGUCGCAACAGCUGACAGAAAAAUCUGAUGUCUACUCAUUUGGGGUAGUUCUUUUGGAAGUUUUAUGUGCAAGAGCGGCGAUUGACCCAUCUCUUCCAAGAGAUCAGAUAAACUUGGCGGAAUGGGGAUUGCUUUGCAAAAACAAGGGGACACUCCAAGAGAUCAUCGAUCCUUCCAUCAAGGAUCAAAUUGAUCAAAACUCACUCAGAAAAUUUAGUGAGACGAUAGAAAAAUGCUUGCAAGAAGAUGGUUCUGAUAGGCCAACCAUGGGUGAUGUGUUGUGGGACUUGGAGUAUGCGGUGCAGCUUCAGAGAGGUGCAAAUGCAAUACAGAGAGAGCCGUAUGAGGAUAGUUCUAGCAGUGUUUCUGCAUCAUUUCAACUGCCCAAUGUUCGGCGUCUUCCUUCACUCUCCACACUGAGUGAAGCCGAUGAUACCAUUGUGAGGAAUGAUGAAUCCGAUAGUGCUGUGGAUUACGUUUUCUCCCAGUUGAAGAUUGAUGAUGCCAGAUAGAUUAUCGAGCACUUCAAGGCAGUCGUCUUUUUGUUUCUGUAGUUUUUGUUGUCAGACUAUCACAUUGUUCUGUCCUUAAUUUCACCAUCCUCGUCUGGUUUCCUUAAUUAGUUUGAGUGAAAUAUGUAUUCAAAUAUUUUCUUUGCAGUAACCUACAAACCUUCGAAUCCACAAAUACCAUUAUUUUGAAUGUUUUAUGUUCUCGAAAGUUUAGAGAAGGAAACUCGUGUGUUGGUAUUAAGUUAGGAACAAUUGGACUCAUUAGACCUAUGGUUAGUUCAUUGUAUUUUCUUUAUAAUUUCUAUUUAAAAAAUUAUUGUAUUUUUAAUUGGUGUGGAACAGAUAUAAAUAAAACCUAAUAGUUAUCGUGGAUGUAAGUGGAAGUUGAAGACCGAAUCACGUUAAAUAUUGUGUUGUUUAUUUUUUACAAUCGUGAUUAUGUGGGUUCUUGCGUGUCUUUUUCUCAUCACAUGUUUCACGGCUAGGGCAGAACUAAUUAAAAAAUCCAUUAAACUCAUUAUAUACCAUCAUCACAUAUUCAAAUUAAAAAUCAUUUUAUAAUAAUAAUUUUUUAACUGAAGAAAAUUGUUGUGAUACUUUUUCUCUGACCACAAUUUCUUGGAAUUAUAAUAGAAGAAAAAUCAUUUGGAAUUUAGACUUCUGUUGUAUUCCAUUCCAAGAAAACCAGGACAAAACAUGUGAAGAUUUUGAUUCCUCUGGAAAGAUAUUUGUACUCUAUUGCUAGCCUUCUUAAUUUCUAUCUUCUUUUUUUCACGGGUCUAAUAGUUCCGGUAGUUGAUAAAUCCACUUCAAUUCAAAAUUAAAGAGAAGGGGGAAAGAGCACUAAUACAAAUAACGUAUUUUAUAAUUAUAUAUUAGAUUGUUUUAUUGAAAAUUGCUAAUACAAAUAACGUAUUAUACACUGCUAAUACAAAUAACGUGUUAUACACUGCUAGAUUGCCUCCAGUGCUGAUGUCGCCGCUAGAUAGCUACCUCCACUACACUACUUGUUAUUUAUAUAGAAAAUUAUUUUUAUUAUAAUGUAUUGGAAUGAAAUGUAUUAUGUUUUAAAUUUUUUAAUUAUUAUAUGUUGAAUGUUUUGGUAUUGAAUUUGGGGUGAUCAACCUCGACAAUGUCUACUAUGUUUUAUAAUGUAUUAUGUUUGGAUAUAAUGUAUUAUGCUUUAAAUUUUGUUUGAAUUGUUAUUUUAAUUGUUAAAUGUUGAACAUUUUACUAUUGGGUCUUGUGUAUUAUGUUUUAUAAUACAUUUAUUAAAAAUUGGGUGACAUUGAUGGAUAAGUGCUUCUAUUACGUAAUCACGAAUCGAAGUUGGAUAAAUGUGAGUUGUAUCAGUGAUGUGUAUGAAAAUGGCGUUGAAGAAUUUCUACAAUUUGCUCAACAGAAUGUAGAAGUUAUAAGUGGAAGAUAUUAGUAUGAUGUCUUUUAAUACAAGGACUGAAGAUGAAAAAGUACUAUGCAGAAUAACAGUGUUACCCUUGAGGCGAAGUCUAUGCACUUUGCUAGUUCAAAAGAUAAUAAUCCUAUUGUGGCUACUUUAAGUUACUUUGGAGUAAUUGAAGAAAUUUGGGAGGUUGAAUACGUCAAAUUUAGAGUUCCUGUAUUUAAGUGUAAAAUGGGUUGAUUGUAACACAAGAGUGCAUGUGGAUGACUUGAGUUUUACUUUGGGUGAUCUUACAAAGAUAGGGUGGAAGAAAAAUCCUUUCAUCAUAACUUACCAAGCAAAACAAGGUUUUUAUGUGAAAGAUCCUUCUAGGUGGUCAGUUGUCGUACAGGGGAGAAUUGAACAUGAUGUUCAUCCACAGGAUGACUCAAGGGUCAAAUCUGUAUACAAGUUUUCAUUCUCUAAACAAAUACCUCCUUUGAAUGAUGAAAAUAAUGUUGAUGAAGUAUAUGCUACACGCCAUGAUCACAAUGAAGGAAUAUGGGAGAACAUUUUAAUACUUCCACAAUAGAAAUUAAGUUAUGUUUUUAUUAGCUUUUAUAUUUAAAAAUUAGUUUUAUUUAAUUUAAAUAUAUAUCUUAAACGUGUUUUUAUUUUUUGUAGGUUGAUCACAUGGCUGACUCAUCAAAGAAGACUAGGGAGCCUACACGACUAAGAAAUCUUGUUAUUAGACGUAUGGGUAAUAAGAAAGUUCCAGUUCAAACAGACCCUCAAACUCGUAGGGCAUCAGACCCUAAUCAUGCUCAAUUUGUAAGUUAUUUGGGAGUCCUAGCUCGAUCUAAGGUGUCUAUCUUGGUACUUGACUGGGACCAUGUAAGAAAAGUAUAGAAGAAUCUUAUUUGGAAGGAUAUUUGUGUAAGCUAUUUAUUUAAAGGUUAUUAAAUAAUUUGUGUAUUUAAAACGUUAUUUACAUUUUAAUGACUUAUUCAUUAUAAUUUUUAGACAAACUUUGAGUUUGAAACUUCCAAUUUGGUUCGGAGCAAGAUAUUGUCUUUAGUAGCUACAAAAUGGAAGCAAUUCAAGAUAAAUUUGAUAGGCUAUUACAUAUUUGGCAAAUACAAGGACAGAUCUCCUUGUGAGAAAUAUUGUAUAGAUGAAGAGGCAUGGUCUCAUUUUGUUCAGAGUCAAAUGGAUCCCUCAUGGUAGGUUUGUGAACAUUUCAUUAUAUAUGUUAUUAAAUCAUAUCAUGCAAUUCAUAAUUUAUGUGUAUGAUGUGCUUGCAGGAAAAGUGGAAGAAAGCUCAAAUCAUUUCACAAAAGAAUGUUACCUCCCACAGACUGUCUCGGGGAGGUUAUGAUUUGUUAGAGAAAAAGAUAAUGGAAGAAAAGUUAAAGAGGCAAACAAAAUCCGAUUCUGGUGAACUUAUUUAUCCUCCAUCACCUCCUAAUCGACAUGGAAAAUGGAAGUUGGCCAGAACUAAAGCGGGAGUCAGAUGAAAUCUGAGAAAUCAUUAGAGAUUUCCCAACGUAUUAUAAGUUCAUAAUUACAUGUCUUAUUUUUAGUAUUGCACACUUAUCAUUACAUAUUAUAUUAACAUAUUGUAUUAUUCUUUACAGAGAGUGUGAUCUCUUUGGUGGGUUGAUGUAUUUUUAUUUGUUGGGUUUCUAUAUCUUAAUCUGGUAUAUUAUUUUGGUUAUUGUAGUGUAGUGUAUGUAUGAUCCUUUAUUGGUAGGGUGCUAGGAAACUUGUUUUGGGUUUUUUGUAUAAGGGUUGGGACACCCCUGAAGUGUCUCAAUUUAUUUUAUUUAUUUUUUGCUGAUAAAAAAAAAGGAUUUGCUAGUGGAGCAAAGCUCACAGGGAAGUUUUGUUCCUAAAGGUCGAGAUGACAUCUUGACUGUUGCUAUUGGAACUAGGGAACACCUUGAUCGUGUACGUACUACUAGUUUUGGUGUUGGGGUGAGGCAAUACUUUGGAUCAGCUCCUCGACCCAACUUUUCUACUGCAAAUGUCAGUCAGGAGAUGAUGGAGCAAUUAGUUGCACAAUUGACAGAGAGACUGACACCACAACUAACUCAUAACAUAAAAGAACAAGUUGUCAAAGAGUUAAAAGCUGAAUUCGAGCAGCGAUAUAAUCCAGUUGAACCAGUAGAUGUAAUUCAUACUCGUGGUUGAGGUAGCACAAAAGGUAGUUGUGAUAUCGAUUCAUACUCGUGGUUGAGCUAGCAAUUAGUGGCCUUUUGAAGAGUGUAUCCAGGACGUUUAACCAUGCACAUUGUUCCCAUGCAGGGUGAUUUCUCUAGAGUGGUAGUUGAAAAAGCUAGAGAUGCAUCUGCUACAGUUUCAAUGUCAUAACAGAGGUUAAUACAGUGGGAUAGACACUUGGAAUAUUUAUUGCAUGGCCUACACAUUUGAUAAAGGCCAUUUCAAAAAAUUAUGAGGUAUAUUUUAUUAAAAGCUAUUAAUGUCAUUCAUUGGGAUGCCACAUUAUUUAGUACAUAACCAUGCAAGAUGUCUUUGAAAUCAUUCAGGUUAAUUAAUUAUUGAACAUCGUAGUUAUUCAACUAUGGAUGAUGUAAGUACCCUUAAUAAUUACAUGAUACUUAAUCAAACGAUGUUUCAUGAAUCAUGUCAUUGAUAUCUAUGUUAACAAUGUAUAUAAAUUAGAUAAUUAUCAACAUGAGUAAUGUUGAUAUUUUUUAUUUCCUUGAGCCGCAAUCCAUACAAAGGUAUGAUAAUAAAAAUAUUAAUUGUCAAACUUACAUUCAAAGAUGAAUUCAGACAUCCAGAAAGAGGAUUUAUAUGGCUCCUUUUAUAAAUGGGUUAGUAAAACUUGUUACAUUUAGAUUUUACAUAAUUAUAAAAAUGACUAAUGAAAUGUUCUAUACUAGGUCUCACCGGCAUUUGAUGCUUAUUUGCCCCAUGGAUAAUACACUUGUGUGGUUUUAUUCAUUACAUAGGAAGUCAAGUCCAGAUCUGGAGACUGCAGUACAAAUGUAUGUUUUUAUUAAUAUGUUAAUUAUAUAAUUUAUUGUCAAUUACUAAUAUUUUUCUCUUUUUAGUGCAAUUAAUGUAUGCAAUGUCUUUGGCGGUAGACCCACUUUAUCAUCACAAGAUCUAGUUAGAUUUUUCCUAGGGUAUAUAUUUAUCUCUUUAUUGAAACUAUUAAGUUUUACUUCUUUUAGUUGUUCAAUUAAAUUAAUUGUUACUUAUAUUUGAUAAUAGUGCAAUAAGCAACAAAAAAAGCUUUGAAUGUGGUUAUUAUGUAAUGCAUUGGAUGUGAACCAUAUCCUUGUGAAUAUUAUGGACUCUUGGAAGCGGGUAUUAUAAGAUUUUAAACACUUUAACAUCUCAUUUUAAAUUCAUAUUUAUUAUUAUGAACACUAAUAUCCAAUUACGUUUCUCAGCUUUUUGUAGAAAUCGAGUCACAAAGCAUACAAACUCUUAAACAAAUCUGUCAAAAAUGGUCCAAAUAUUUUCUAGAGAUUAGGAAUCAAAACAUAUCAUGAUUUGUAACUUUGUAUAUAUAUAUACACUUUCAUUAGUUUUAAUUAUACUAUUUUUUAUUAGUUUCAAUUGCAUGCUUUUAUAUUUCUCAAUAUAAAAAUUGAUCUUAUUGGUUUUUGGUUUGAUUUAAAAAUUAAGUUGAAAAAAUCACAUUUUAAUAAUUUUGAAAAUAACAAAUGUAAAAUGUAAAAUAUCAUAUUACAACUGAGCUAUAUUAAUAAUAGAAUCGAUAUAAUAUAUCUCCAAAAACUUGGGUAAUAUGCAUUAUUGCACUAGUGAAGGAAGUAUGAAGAAAAAUCAACGUCCAUCCUUGACCUGUGCUCAAGUCUUCCUCUCUUUUCAGUCCACAGACUAAUAAUCUUAGUCUAAAAAGAUGCAAAUAUCACACCCGAAACUAAGCCCAGAUCAUCACCUUUCCAUGGAUAUUCCUAAGCUCCACAUAAUUCAACACUCUCGCUGUAUUGCACUUCUUUUCCUUCUUCAGUUCUCAUCACUGCACUUCCCCUCCCUCGGCUACAACGUCCCUGAUAAGUACUUUAUCAAUUGUGGGUCAGACAACAGUGUUACCGAAAGUGGCAAGGUUUACGUUGCUGAAUCAAACCAUGAUGCCAGUUUUAACAGCAGUAACACCGAAAGGAAUCAGUCAUCGGUGCCUUCUCCUCUUUACCAAACAGCAAGAAUUUUUCGAAGGGUAUCUUGGUACAAGUUCAACAUCGAUUCCAAUGGCACCUACCUGCUACGCCUUCAUUUCUUCCCUUUCUCUUCCCCCAGUAAUCUUUCCUCGGCCAGGUUCAACGUUUCAGUCCCUGGUUUCUGGUUGUUGCAAAAUUUUGAUGGUACAAAUGAUACCAAUAACAACUCUGCUUUAGUUAAAGAGUUUUUCAUGGAAAUUAGUGCCCCCACCUUCAAAAUAACUUUCAGACCUCUGGAAUCAUCGUUUGCGUUUGUGAACGCCAUAGAACUGUUCGUACUACCCCUCCAUCUGAUAUCUGACAAGGUGUCGUUUUUUAAACCCAUUGGGGGUACAUCUAUUUAUAGCGGAGGUUUGUACUCUCGGGUGUUGGAGACCAAACAUAGGCUUAAUGUUGGUGGUCAACCUACCAAAGAUCUCUUAUUGAGAAACUGGAUUCCAGAUGAUAUUUAUCUAAUGUAUACAGAAAACGCCAAGAAUCGUUCCCCUUAUAAUGGUGAAAUCGGGUACCAUGUAGAUGAUGACUCCGAUGGUCCAAACNNNNNNNNNNNNNNNNNNNNNNNNNNNNNNNNNNNNNNNNNNNNNNNNNNNNNNNNNNNNNNNNNNNNNNNNNNNNNNNNNNNNNNNNNNNNNNNNNNNNNNNNNNNNNNNNNNNNNNNNNNNNNNNNNNNNNNNNNNNNNNNNNNNNNNNNNNNNNNNNNNNNNNNNNNNNNNNNNNNNNNNNNNNNNNNNNNNNNNNNNNNNNNNNNNNNNNNNNNNNNNNNNNNNNNNNNNNNNNNNNNNNNNNNNNNNNNNNNNNNNNNNNNNNNNNNNNNNNNNNNNNNNNNNNNNNNNNNNNNNNNNNNNNNNNNNNNNNNNNNNNNNNNNNNNNNNNNNNNNNNNNNNNNNNNNNNNNNNNNNNNNNNNNNNNNNNNNNAAGUGAUUGAAUCAUCAAAUGAUGUCCCCCGUGACAUGGACGAACCCGAUUCCAAUCAUCAUCCUUUUCCUGUGGUUCUGGGUUCAGUUCUCGGUGGUUUAGCCUUGGCUUUUGUUGUGGUGCUACUUGGCUUUCUUUUGCGUUUUAAAAUGAGGAAGGAAAAGCCCGUUGGGAAUUCGGACUGGUUGUCAGUCCUCGUUAAUGCUGGAGGAAGUUCUCACAGCAGAUUGACUGAUAUAUCCAGUCACGGCUCUGCCCUUCCCAACAUAAACCUAGGGCUCAAAAUUCCCUUGAUUGAUCUUCAACUUGCAACAAAGAAUUUCCACGAAAGUCAGCUGAUUGGCGAGGGUGGUUUUGGCAACGUCUACAAGGGAGUCCUCAAGAAUGGCAUGACAGUGGCUGUGAAAAGAAGCCAGCCAGGGUCAGGUCAAGGCCUUCCAGAAUUUCAGACAGAGAUUAUGGUUUUGUCCAAGAUUCGCCACAGGCACCUGGUUUCCUUAAUUGGGUAUUGUGAUGAGAGGUUGGAGAUGAUUCUGGUCUAUGAAUACAUGGAAAAAGGAACCCUAAGGGACCAUUUGUAUAACACAAAGUUUCCAACCUUGUCCUGGAAGGCGAGGCUUCAAAUUUGCAUUGAUUCUGCCAGGGGUCUUCAUUACCUUCACAAAGGAGCAGCUGGGGGAAUCAUUCACCGUGAUGUGAAGUCCACAAACAUAUUGCUUGAUGAGAACCAUGUCGCUAAAGUUGCUGAUUUUGGUCUUUCAAGGUCAGGUCCUCUUGGUACUGAAUCGUAUGUCACCACUGGUGUUAAAGGCACUUUUGGGUAUCUUGAUCUUGAGUAUUUCAGGUCGCAACACCUGACAGAAAAAUCUGAUGUCUACUCAUUUGGGGUAGUUCUUUUGGAAGUUUUAUGUGCAAGA